Molecule: ribosomal RNA, 253 nt
Filed under: uncultured bacterium
Lineage: Bacteria
Description: partial 16S ribosomal RNA
Rfam family: Bacterial small subunit ribosomal RNA
Source: RNAcentral
UACGUAGGUGGCAAGCGUUGUCCGGAUUUACUGGGUGUAAAGGGCGUGCAGCCGGGCUGACAAGUCAGAUGUGAAAUCCCGCGGCUCAACCGCGGAACUGCAUUUGAAACUGUUGGUCUUGAGUACUGGAGAGGCAGGCGGAAUUCCUAGUGUAGCGGUGAAAUGCGUAGAUAUUAGGAGGAACACCAGUGGCGAAGGCGGCCUGCUGGACAGCAACUGACGGUGAGGCGCGAAAGCGUGGGGAGCAAACAGG